This 117-nucleotide ribosomal RNA is filed under the name uncultured eukaryote. RNAcentral's name for it is "partial small subunit ribosomal RNA". It matches the Rfam family "Bacterial small subunit ribosomal RNA", at positions 1410 to 1525 of the family's 1533-position model. The record is from RNAcentral.
GUUGGCUCUACCCGAAGCUGGUGCGCUAACCUUUUAGGAGGCAGCCAACCACGGUAGGGUCAGCGACUGGGGUGAAGUCGUAACAAGGUAGCCGUAGGUGAACCUGCAGAAGGAUCA